RNAcentral lists this ribosomal RNA (1555 nucleotides) under Salmonella enterica. RNAcentral's name for it is "partial 23S ribosomal RNA". It matches the Rfam family "Bacterial large subunit ribosomal RNA", at positions 1292 to 2826 of the family's 2925-position model. Lineage: Bacteria; Pseudomonadati; Pseudomonadota; Gammaproteobacteria; Enterobacterales; Enterobacteriaceae. The record is from RNAcentral. RNAcentral also lists the same sequence under 1 other name.
GAAUGCUGACAUAAGUAACGAUAAAGCGGGUGAAAAGCCCGCUCGCCGGAAGACCAAGGGUUCCUGUCCAACGUUAAUCGGGGCAGGGUGAGUCGACCCCUAAGGCGAGGCCGAAAGGCGUAGUCGAUGGGAAACGGGUUAAUAUUCCCGUACUUGGUGUUACUGCGAAGGGGGGACGGAGAAGGCUAUGUUGGCCGGGCGACGGUUGUCCCGGUUUAAGCGUGUAGGUGUGUGUUCCAGGUAAAUCCGGUUCACUUUAACACUGAGGCGUGACGACGAGGCACUACGGUGCUGAAGCAACAAAUGCCCUGCUUCCAGGAAAAGCCUCUAAGCAUCAGGUAACAUCAAAUCGUACCCCAAACCGACACAGGUGGUCAGGUAGAGAAUACCAAGGCGCUUGAGAGAACUCGGGUGAAGGAACUAGGCAAAAUGGUGCCGUAACUUCGGGAGAAGGCACGCUGACACGUAGGUGAAGUGAUUUACUCAUGGAGCUGAAGUCAGUCGAAGAUACCAGCUGGCUGCAACUGUUUAUUAAAAACACAGCACUGUGCAAACACGAAAGUGGACGUAUACGGUGUGACGCCUGCCCGGUGCCGGAAGGUUAAUUGAUGGGGUCAGCGCAAGCGAAGCUCCUGAUCGAAGCCCCGGUAAACGGCGGCCGUAACUAUAACGGUCCUAAGGUAGCGAAAUUCCUUGUCGGGUAAGUUCCGACCUGCACGAAUGGCGUAAUGAUGGCCAGGCUGUCUCCACCCGAGACUCAGUGAAAUUGAACUCGCUGUGAAGAUGCAGUGUACCCGCGGCAAGACGGAAAGACCCCGUGAACCUUUACUAUAGCUUGACACUGAACAUUGAGCCUUGAUGUGUAGGAUAGGUGGGAGGCUUUGAAGUGUGGACGCCAGUCUGCAUGGAGCCGACCUUGAAAUACCACCCUUUAAUGUUUGAUGUUCUAACGUGGACCCGUUACCCGGGUUGCGGACAGUGUCUGGUGGGUAGUUUGACUGGGGCGGUCUCCUCCUAAAGAGUAACGGAGGAGCACGAAGGUUGGCUAAUCCUGGUCGGACAUCAGGAGGUUAGUGCAAUGGCAUAAGCCAGCUUGACUGCGAGCGUGACGGCGCGAGCAGGUGCGAAAGCAGGUCAUAGUGAUCCGGUGGUUCUGAAUGGAAGGGCCAUCGCUCAACGGAUAAAAGGUACUCCGGGGAUAACAGGCUGAUACCGCCCAAGAGUUCAUAUCGACGGCGGUGUUUGGCACCUCGAUGUCGGCUCAUCACAUCCUGGGGCUGAAGUAGGUCCCAAGGGUAUGGCUGUUCGCCAUUUAAAGUGGUACGCGAGCUGGGUUUAGAACGUCGUGAGACAGUUCGGUCCCUAUCUGCCGUGGGCGCUGGAGAACUGAGGGGGGCUGCUCCUAGUACGAGAGGACCGGAGUGGACGCAUCACUGGUGUUCGGGUUGUCAUGCCAAUGGCACUGCCCGGUAGCUAAAUGCGGAAGAGAUAAGUGCUGAAAGCAUCUAAGCACGAAACUUGCCCCGAGAUGAGUUCUCCCUGAGACUUAGAGUCU